Molecule: ribosomal RNA, 505 nt
Filed under: uncultured bacterium
Lineage: Bacteria
Description: partial 16S ribosomal RNA
Rfam family: Bacterial small subunit ribosomal RNA
Source: RNAcentral
GACGAACGCUGGCGGCGUGCCUAAUACAUGCAAGUAGGACGCACAGUCUAUACCGUAGCUUGCUACACCAUAGGCUGUGAGUUGCGAACGGGUGAGUAACGCGUAGGUAACCUGCCUAUUAGAGGGGGAUAACUAUUGGAAACGAUAGCUAAUACCGCAUAACAGUAUGUAACACAUGUUAGAUGCUUGAAAGAUGCAAUUGCAUCGCUAGUAGAUGGACCUGCGUUGUAUUAGCUAGUAGGUAGGGUAAUGGCCUACCUAGGCGACGAUACAUAGCCGACCUGAGAGGGUGAUCGGCCACACUGGGACUGAAACACGGCCCAGACUCCUACGGGAGGCAGCAGUAGGGAAUCUUCGGCAAUGGGGGGAACCCUGACCGAGCAACGCCGCGUGAGUGAAGAAGGUUUUCGGAUCGUAAAGCUCUGUUGUUAAGGAAGAACGAGUGUGAGAAUGGAAAGUUCAUACUGUGACGGUACUUAACCAGAAAGGGACGGCUAACUACGUG